Molecule: transfer RNA, 69 nt
Filed under: Clostridioides difficile
Lineage: Bacteria; Bacillati; Bacillota; Clostridia; Peptostreptococcales; Peptostreptococcaceae
Also listed under: 3 other names
Description: tRNA-Leu
Rfam family: tRNA
About the family: Transfer RNA (tRNA) molecules are approximately 80 nucleotides in length. Their secondary structure includes four short double-helical elements and three loops (D, anti-codon, and T loops). Further hydrogen bonds mediate the characteristic L-shaped molecular structure. tRNAs have two regions of fundamental functional importance: the anti-codon, which is responsible for specific mRNA codon recognition, and the 3' end, to which the tRNAs corresponding amino acid is attached (by aminoacyl-tRNA synthetases). tRNAs cope with the degeneracy of the genetic code in two manners: having more than one tRNA (with a specific anti-codon) for a particular amino acid; and 'wobble' base-pairing, i.e. permitting non-standard base-pairing at the 3rd anti-codon position.
Source: RNAcentral
GGCGGAACAGGCAGACGCACAGGACUUAAAAUCCUGCGGUAGCGAUACCGUACCGGUUCGAUUCCGGUC